CCUACGGGAGGCAGCAGUGAGGAAUAUUGGUCAAUGGACGAGAGUCUGAACCAGCCAAGUAGCGUGAAGGAUGACUGCCCUAUGGGUUGUAAACUUCUUUUAUAUGGGAAUAAAACAGGGUAUGCAUACCCUCUUGUAUGUACCAUAUGUAUAAGGAUCGGCUAACUCCGUGCCAGCAGCCGCGGUAAUACGGAGGAUCCGAGCGUUGUCAGGAUUUAUUGGGUUUAAAGGGAGCGUAGGUGGAUUGUUAAGUCAGUUGUGAAAGUUGGCGGCUCAACCGUAAAAUUGCAGUUGAAACUGGCAGUCGUGAGUACAGUAGAGGUGGGCGGAAGUCGUGGGGUAGCGGUGAAAUGCGUAGAUAUCACGAAGAACUCCGAUGGCGAAGGCAGCUCACUGGACUGCAACUGACACUGAUGCUCGAAAGUGUGGGUAGCAAACAGGAUUAGAUACCCUGGUAGUC
RNAcentral lists this ribosomal RNA (460 nucleotides) under uncultured bacterium. RNAcentral's name for it is "partial 16S ribosomal RNA". It matches the Rfam family "Bacterial small subunit ribosomal RNA", at positions 338 to 795 of the family's 1533-position model. The record is from RNAcentral.